This 30-nucleotide non-coding RNA is filed under the name Mus musculus (house mouse). Lineage: Eukaryota; Metazoa; Chordata; Mammalia; Rodentia; Muridae. The record is from RNAcentral.
UAUGAUGGAUGUUGGCUCCAACUUCAUGUA